UACGUAGGGUGCAAGCGUUGUCCGGAAUUAUUGGGCGUAAAGAGCUCGUAGGCGGCCUGUUGCGUCGGCUGUGAAAACCCGGGGCUCAACCCCGGGCCUGCAGUCGAUACGGGCAGGCUAGAGUCCGGCAGGGGAGACUGGAAUUCCUGGUGUAGCGGUGAAAUGCGCAGAUAUCAGGAGGAACACCGGUGGCGAAGGCGGUUCUCUGGGCCUUACCUGACGCUGAGGAGCGAAAGCAUGGGGAGCAAACAGG
Molecule: ribosomal RNA, 253 nt
Filed under: uncultured bacterium
Lineage: Bacteria
Description: partial 16S ribosomal RNA
Rfam family: Bacterial small subunit ribosomal RNA
Source: RNAcentral